RNAcentral lists this ribosomal RNA (253 nucleotides) under uncultured bacterium. Its description in RNAcentral is "partial 16S ribosomal RNA". It matches the Rfam family "Bacterial small subunit ribosomal RNA", at positions 524 to 776 of the family's 1533-position model. The record is from RNAcentral.
UACGAAGGGGGCUAGCGUUGCUCGGAAUCACUGGGCGUAAAGCGCACGUAGGCGGCCAACUAAGUCGGACGUGAAAUCCCUCAGCUUAACUGGGGAACUGCGUCCGAUACUGGAUGGCUUGGAUUUGGGAGAGGGAUGCGGAAUUCCAGGUGUAGCGGUGAAAUGCGUAGAUAUCUGGAGGAACACCGGUGGCGAAGGCGGCAUCCUGGACCAAUAUUGACGCUGAGGAGCGAAAGCCAGGGGAGCAAACGGG